GGGUCCAUCCUAAUGCCUGCAGGUCAGUGCCAGUACCUGCUAGGUUUCGCUUGUGGACCAGAUUAAACUGGAAAGUGCUCUUAAAUAUGAGUUUACAGUUAAGUCUGCUCGUAACAAGAGUUUUCUGGACAUGU
Chelonoidis abingdonii (Abingdon island giant tortoise) is the source of this 134-nucleotide small nucleolar RNA. NCBI's taxonomy places the organism in Eukaryota, Metazoa, Chordata, Testudines, Testudinidae. The record is from Ensembl.